Molecule: small nucleolar RNA, 104 nt
Organism: Nycticebus coucang (slow loris)
Lineage: Eukaryota; Metazoa; Chordata; Mammalia; Primates; Lorisidae
Product: small nucleolar RNA U13
Exons: 1
Source: RefSeq, a predicted model, not a curated record
AUCCUUUUGUAGGUCAUACGCAUGGUGAUCGGGUGUUCCUGCGCAUGCAUGAGAUGUGCCUCCCACAAAUCUUGUUACGAUGUCGGCACAUUACCCACCUGACA